AACUUUUAGCAACGGAUCUCUUGGUUCUGGCAUCGAUGAAGAACGCAGAGAAAUGCGAUAAGUAAUGUGAAUUGCAGAAUUUAGUGAAUCAUCGAAUCUUUGAACGCACAUUGCGCGCGCUAGGAUUCUGGCGGGCAUGCCUGUUCGAGCGUCAUUUCAACCCUCAAGCGCUGUUCGCUUGGUGUUGGGGCUAUUUUACGGGGUCGUACCUGUAAGCCCUGAAAAUCAGUGGCGGGCUCGCUAGCAUCCCGAGCGCAGUAAUUUUACUUUCUCGCUUUGGGCGUGCUGCGGGGUUUUUCCAGCCGUUAAACACCCAUAUUUUAAAGGUUGACCUCGGAUCAGGUAGGAAUACCCGCUGAACUUAAGCAUAUCAAUAAGCGGAGGAU
Molecule: unclassified non-coding RNA, 386 nt
Filed under: uncultured Sordariomycetes
Lineage: Eukaryota; Fungi; Ascomycota; Sordariomycetes
Description: sequence contains ITS2
Rfam family: 5.8S ribosomal RNA (bases 1-154)
Source: RNAcentral